RNAcentral lists this ribosomal RNA (253 nucleotides) under uncultured bacterium. RNAcentral describes it as "partial 16S ribosomal RNA". It matches the Rfam family "Bacterial small subunit ribosomal RNA", at positions 524 to 776 of the family's 1533-position model. The record is from RNAcentral.
UACGGAGGGUGCAAGCGUUAUCCGGAUUCACUGGGUUUAAAGGGCGCGUAGGCGGCCACGCACGUCCGUUGUGAAAUCGCCCGGCUCAACUGGGCGGGGUCAGCGGAUACGGUGUGGCUCGAGCAAGCUAGGGGGCAAUGGAAUUCCCGGUGUAGUGGUGGAAUGCGUAGAUAUCGGGAGGAACACCAGUGGCGAAGGCGGUUGCCUGGAGCUUUGCUGACGCUGAGGCGCGAAAGCGUGGGGAGCGAUCCGG